Molecule: non-coding RNA, 167 nt
Organism: Pelodiscus sinensis (Chinese soft-shelled turtle)
Lineage: Eukaryota; Metazoa; Chordata; Testudines; Trionychidae
Source: RefSeq, a predicted model, not a curated record
UCAUGAAACGUCGCAUCGUCGGGUGAGAGAAAACUGAGUAACCAUCCACAGUGUGGUGUAACGCAGUGAUUGUGGCGACGUGCACUCUAAUAGAGGCGCAGCUGAGAGAAGAGCUCUUGAGGUGCAUGAGGUAGUCCAGGAUACGGUGGAUGGGUGCGGAGUAGGGA